AUGCACCGGUGCGGGCACCGUAGUUCCUCGGUGCUGUGCGCACUCGUCUGACGCUCGCUCCGUUUGUCAGCC
RNAcentral lists this small RNA (72 nucleotides) under Xanthomonas sp. NCPPB 1560. RNAcentral's name for it is "sX9 sRNA". It matches the Rfam family "Xanthomonas sRNA sX9". Lineage: Bacteria; Pseudomonadati; Pseudomonadota; Gammaproteobacteria; Lysobacterales; Lysobacteraceae. The record is from RNAcentral. RNAcentral also lists the same sequence under 5 other names.